AGGAAAACUACAAGAAAAAAAGAAACUUCUCUCUCCCUCUCUCAGAGAGAUUUGGCGUCAGCAAAUGGAGUAGAAAAGUUGACGCCAGAUUUUCUUCAGAAAAUGAGAGAUAAUAAAAUAAAAGAGACCGAGCGUCAAUGCCCUUUCUUCAGCACUUUUUGUCCAAGCUUCUUAAUCCUUUGCGUCAUUUUAUAAAUCUGGUGCAAUAUCUCAAAUUUUGCUCUUUCCCAUCUAAGCUGAUCUAUUAGUUGUAAAGAAUGACUUAAUCGUUGAUUUUGAGAAAUGAUUAGUGGAUUUAAACUUCUUGUUAGGAGUGAUCCUUGAUAUUUUAUUGAUCGAUUCAAGUCAAGUUCUUAAAGAAUUCUAAUUUGUAGCUGACUUUGUCUUGAUGAUAUUGUUAUAAUGAUGUUUUGAUUUAUGGGUUUUAUUUUUUAAGGCUUGUUUAUGCAUCUGAUCUGCGAUUUGCUUUAAAUGGAUUAUAUAUUUGGUGGGUGUUACCGUUUUGGAGUGUUAGUGCAGUUUUGUGUUGAUCAGCAUUCUAUUUGCUUAACAAAAUCAGGACUUACUUGAAAAUGUAAUGAGUAUGGCCAAUUUGCAGUGUUCCAGAUUAAAUUUUGCAUUUUAUUGCAUUCCAUGUAUGAGACAAUUUUUUGAAUUCAAUUUUCUGUGAAUUUGUUUGUGGAUUUAAGUUUUCUGCACAAAAUAUUCUUAAUAUUUGAUGCUUUAUCGGAGUGUGUUUUGUUAGUUAAGAGGGAAUGUUUCGUUUACUGUGGCGAUGCCAUGAAAUAAUUUUGAAAUUAGUUUAUUUGUCUUGAGUUAAAAGAGUUUCAUUUAUAUGGUGUAACUGCUGCUUUGUCUGAUUAUUGUCUUCUCCUUUUUGUGUCUUUGGUGAGCCAAGCCUGCUCGGGUUCUCACUUUUGCAGCAUCAUGAUAGUUAUCUAAAUUAUCUAUGGUGGUGAUGUUGUUCUUGAGAAACUUACGCUAGUUCUGUUUUUGUGACAGCUUGUAUUUAUAGAAAAACAAAAAAUCUAAUCUAAAAAGAUUUUGCAGUGCCAAGUGUUAUUGUCCUUGUUAAGCCCAUUGAGAAACAGAUAAAUUCAGUAAUGAUUUGAAGAAAAUUUGCAAAAAUUUGGAAACUUUUAUAUUUCCAGCUGAUGAUUUCAUGCCUUCUAAGUUGGUUGUCAAACUUAGAUGGAUGACACUUCUUCUAAACCAAAUAGCAACACCCAAAGUGACCAAUACCCUUUGUUGAUGGAACGGAUGAAUAGCCACAAUGAUCAUGAGCACAUAAUUGACUUAACAAGAAAUGAUGAUGCUUCAUCAAGCUCAUCUCAUGAUGGUCGGCCUCCUGAAAUUGACUUACCUCAGCAUGAAGAUAGAUCAUCAGGUGGUGCAAGUGGCCCCACUCAUCAAAUUUCUUCAUCUUCCUUAAAUGAAUUAAACUCUAGAAGUUCAGCAUUUACAAGGAGAAGGGAUCGCUAUGACCAUCGGCGCAGGAGCCCAUUGAACUCUGCGCUCUGGAUUUCCAUUGAGCUAUUUGUCACUGUGGGUCAGAUUAUAGCCUCUAUUGUUGUUGUAUAGCUGUCGAGAGAUGAAAAUCCACAAGCCCCAUUAUUUGCAUGGGUUGUGGGUUAUGCAUCUGGUUGUGUUGCAAGACUUCCCAUUCUUUACUGGCGUUUUCGUAACUGCUACCAGAGUUCCCAACAAGAUUCUGUUCAGUCACAUCAAGGCUCUUCCCAAGACAGUCCUCCUGACUCAUCUUAUACAGUCAUUUCUGUUACUCAAGCUUCAGAUGAGGAGAACCUUUCUUCUACUGAAUCAACCACAAUUAAUGGUCAAGCUGCUAGACAAUUAGGUGCACGGCUCAAUGGAUUAAUGAACCAUUUCAAGAUGGCCUUGGAUUGCUUCUUUGCAGUGUGGUUUGUUGUGGGCAAUGUGUGGAUAUUUGGAGGUCAUUCUACUCCCAAUGAUGCUCCGAAAUUGUACAAGUAUGAUUUUCUGAUGUUUGCUCGUGUUCUAUUUUGAUUCCAUGUUCUUGCAAGUGUUUCUUGGCUUCCUUGCAGAUUAUGUAUAGUAUUCCUUACUUUUAGCUGUAUAGGAUAUGCCAUGCCAUUCAUACUAUGUGCAACAAUUUGUUGCUGCUUGCCUUGCAUAAUCUCUCUCCUUGGAAUUCGGGAGGAUUUUUCUCAAACUAGAGGAGCCACUGUAGAAUCUAUCAAUAGUUUGCCAACCUACAAGUUCAAGUUACAGAAAAGUGAGAAUGUCAAUGUUCAUGACAACUCAGGGACUGAUGAUGGUGGAGUCUUUGCUGCAGGGACUGAAAAGGAACGUGCAAUAUCAGGAGAAGAUGCGGUAAGUUGAAUGGUAGGCCUGCAGGUUCUCAUUUAUAAGACUUGCUAUAAUUGGUCCCCUUAUCCUUCAUGUUCAGAAUAUCAUUAAUUCCUUAUACUUUAUAAUUUUUUGAGGACCCAAGUUUGUCCUUAUGGAUUCUAAUUCAUAUUUUCCUAUAUUUUAUGAUCUACUGCAGUCUACUUUGGGUAGAAACUUUAUAAGAAGAAAAUGUACGAGUAAUAACUUCUAUUCUUUUCUGCCUCUGGUAUUCUUUAAAUUACAUUUGAUGCUGUGUUUAGUUUUUUUUUUUUAUUUGGUUUUGGAUAAAAAUGCUGUGUUUAGUUUUAGUUGUUCAGGUUUGAUACACGCAUAAUUAAUUAUCUUUUAAUUUCCAAGUAUCAAAAUUACUCAAAUAAUAUUUUGUCAUGAAGUUGUCAUUGUCUGUUUUUUUCUUUUUUUUAACUCUCCAUGGAUAGCCUUAAAUAUUUAGCAACUGCUUUUCACUGGAAAAAAAGGGUGGGGUGGACCCAGGCACGCAGGGAGAGUGCAUCAAACCAAAAUCAUCAUGAUUAUUAAGUUGAUGUUAGAUAACUUUCACAUGAUAGCCCAAAGUUCUUGGUGUCUGUAGAAAUUAGAAGAGAUGCAUAAAGCAUGUACAAUGGAGAGGAUGGUUCCUAUCAAUGUCAAGAUGAGUAAUUUUUCAUUUUUUUUUUUCUCUCUGCCUAGCUAUACAAGACACAUUUUAGCACAAGAUCUAGUUCAUUGUAAAAAUUCAAGGUAGUAAAUCUUCUCUUUUCUUUGAAAUGAAAAAAAAAUAAAGGAAAGAAAAAUUGAUAAAGGUUGCAGUAUCCCAUUUCAUUUUAUGGUCAGAUAGGCUGUCAUAUUUGUUCUAGGUGAGAGAAAUAAGCCUAAUACUUACUUGUGGGCAAUUACUUCAAAACUAAUAUGCUCAUUUCUCUUCCCCAAUCUGGUAUAGGUUUGCUGUAUUUGCUUGAAUAAGUAUGUCGAUGACGAUGAGCUGAGGGAACUCCCCUGCACCCAUUUCUUCCAUGUGGACUGUGUGGACAAGUGGUUGAAGAUCAAUGCAUCAUGUCCCCUCUGUAAAAGCGAACUUGGUGAGAGUAGUGGUGCUCCGCCAUUAGCCAGAGACUCCAGCCAACACUAGAGCAAGUUAGAAUGAUAGGUAAUGGAUUGAUCAGCCAUUGGAUUUUGCAUGUCUGGGGUAGAUACCUCAAAUGCACUCGUUUUCAACAAACUAAAUUUUGUUUCACAGAGAUGGAAAGGGCAACAGCAGGUUUUUUUGGUCCUAGCAUUGGCUUUUAAGUCUAUUUAAUUGUUUGUAAUUGCGCUAUACAGGACAAGCUUCCCACCUGAAAUAGUCCGCCCUUCUGUGAAAAUAAAAAAAGUAAUCUUCUUUGGUGUUGCUAUUAUCUGAAUCCUUCAUUUGCUUGAUUUGAAUGGUGAAAUCAACAUCCGUAUGGGUGCCCACUAUUGUAAAUUGUAGGAUGAUAAUUCAGUGAUCAAGUUUUUAUCUUAUAUUUAAUCAUAAAAUGGAAAGAUGCAAUUAUUG
Molecule: unclassified non-coding RNA, 3901 nt
Filed under: Hevea brasiliensis (rubber tree)
Lineage: Eukaryota; Viridiplantae; Streptophyta; Magnoliopsida; Malpighiales; Euphorbiaceae
Source: RNAcentral